UACGGAGGGUGCAAACGUUGCUCGGAAUUAUUGGGCGUAAAGCGCACGUAGGCGGUUUGUUAAGUCGGGUGUGAAAGCCCUGGGCUCAACCUAGGAAGUGCACUCGAAACUGCAGAGCUUGAGUCUCGGAGAGGAUCGCGGAAUUCUCGGUGUAGAGGUGAAAUUCGUAGAUAUCGAGAGGAACACCGGUGGCGAAGGCGGCGAUCUGGACGAUGACUGACGCUGAGACGCGAAAGCGUGGGGAGCAAACAGG
RNAcentral lists this ribosomal RNA (253 nucleotides) under uncultured bacterium. Its description in RNAcentral is "partial 16S ribosomal RNA". It matches the Rfam family "Bacterial small subunit ribosomal RNA", at positions 524 to 776 of the family's 1533-position model. The record is from RNAcentral.